This 492-nucleotide ribosomal RNA is filed under the name uncultured bacterium. RNAcentral's name for it is "partial 16S ribosomal RNA". It matches the Rfam family "Bacterial small subunit ribosomal RNA", at positions 29 to 507 of the family's 1533-position model. The record is from RNAcentral.
AGUGAACGCUGGCGGUAGGCCUAACACAUGCAAGUCGAACGGCAGCACAGUAAGAGCUUGCUCUUACGGGUGGCGAGUGGCGGACGGGUGAGGAAUACAUCGGAAUCUACUUUUUCGUGGGGGAUAACGUAGGGAAACUUACGCUAAUACCGCAUACGACCUACGGGUGAAAGCAGGGGAUCUUCGGACCUUGCGCGAUUGAAUGAGCCGAUGUCGGAUUAGCUAGUUGGCGGGGUAAAGGCCCACCAAGGCGACGAUCCGUAGCUGGUCUGAGAGGAUGAUCGGCCACACUGGAACUGGGACACGGUCCAGACUCCUACGGGAGGCAGCAGUGGGGAAUAUGGGACAAUGGGCGCAAGCCUGAUCCAGCCAUAGCGCGUGGGUGAAGAAGGCCUUCGGGUUGUAAAGCCCUUUUGUUGGGAAAGAAAAGCAGCAGGUUAAUACCCCGCUGUUCUGACGGUACCCAAAGAAUAAGCACCGGCUAACUUCGUG